CCCCCUCCUUCCCUUCUCUCGCUCGCUCCGGCGAAGGUCACCGCGGUGGUGCGGGGAACGAGCUUUGCGGGUCGGUGGGAAUUGUAGAUAUGCAAGGUGCUGUGCACGGUUGGAUCCCGAGCCCACAUGGAUGGAGGGAGCUGUGCAGGCACCAAAACCUCGGUGGGUUUGGAAGAGCUGAGCUCUGCCCCGGCUCCUGCUGUCCUGCAGCUGUUUGCCUUCAGCAGGAGCUGGGGUUGGGAGGAGGAAGACAUGAGCUGCACGCACCAGCUGCUGUUUGCGGGGAGGAGAGGAGCCCACGGAUGGUUUUGCACCUGUAUUAUGUCUUUUAUUGCUUAAUUCUUGUGAGGCAAAGGGCCCUGCUGGAAUCGGGCUGCUUUGGGAUGGUGCUGCUUAAGGGAGGGGCAAAUGAGAGGUGGUUCUGGUGUGCAGGCACAGCUAUCUGCCCUCCUGCUGUCAGGUUGUCGCUCCUCUGCAAUGCUAUCAAAACAGGAAUAUUUCCUGCAUUUAAUCGUGCUUGGUGCAGUCUGCGUGUCCAUCGCCAUCCAUAGGGAGCACUGGGCUGUGUGUCAUUCCUGCAACAUCUGGUUCUGAGGCAAAAUCUUAGAAAUACUUUCAAGUUUGUAUUUCUGCUUUUGGGGAGGGAGGAGGGUGGAAAUCUCCCCGCAGUUGCUUUGUCUGUGGCAUGUUCUUUAAAUGAGUGGAAGGAAGUAUAACUCACCCUGCUCAAAUCUGGGUGCUGCACUAGGGAAACAGCAAGCUUUCCUUGGUGGGGAAAGAGGAGGGUCUGGGGGUGGGAGGGAGAAGAAACAAGAAGAGCUCCUCCUGGGAGAUGGGCAGCUAUAAAUAACUGCACAUAGACUGAGGGGAGCAGCCCACGUCUGUGCUGGUGUGGGCAUGCUGUGCCUUUUUUUGUUGUUAUUGCUGUUGUUAUCAAUUGCUAAUGUGAAUUCUGGCACUCCAGAUCCUGAUGACUGUUGUUCUGAUAACAUAAUUAAAUCUGCGGAAUGUGAAAGAAGAAACCCAGCUGCUGAGUUGAUGCUGGAGGGGCUGUGUGCGCAUGGAGGGACCAAAGGAACCUUCAGAUGCUUCUGGGCGCAGGUUCCUGACUUGCAGGUACACAGGGAGUAUUGCUGCCCUUAGUUAUGAGUGAGGGGUAAUAGCAUAGAAUCAUAAAGGUUAGAAAAGACCAUUAAAAUCACCUGGUCCAAGGUGACCCAUCCUCAUCAUGCCUGCUGACCACGUACCUCAGUGCCACAUCUCCAUAGUUCUUAAUGCCUCCAGGAAUGGUCACUCCAUCACCUCCCUGGGCAGCUGUGCCAAUGCCUCACCACUCCAGAGAAGAAAUUUUUCCAACUGCCCAACCUGAAGGGAGGUCUGUCCUCCCAGCUGCGAGGGUCAGUCCUGGAAGGUGCUGGCAAAGAGGGUUCCCGCUGCUCUUGUAAAGCUUGGCUCUUGUUGAGAUGAGUCUUACGAGAUGUUUUCACUUUUAAUUUCUGUUUUCAAGUGACUUCGAGAGGUGAUUUGGCCUUGGGUAUGCAUAACAGUUGCAGUGUCUCUAGGCAAGUGAUAAGGGAAGCCUCCAUGAUAAACAUUUGGGGUUGGGGAGCAUAGAGAGGAUCUCUUGCCCAGCUUGGUGGUGGCACCUCUGCUGUCCAGCUUCUGUGGCUGUCAUUGUGUCUGAGCUUCAGUUGCCUUUGAGUAUUUUUCUGUGCCUUCUUGCUGAGGUAUGUGCACAGAAGAACAUGAGGCAGCAGCUGUUAUCUGAGGAAAUCAAUGGCAGGUGUGACCCAGCAAAAACAGCCUAUGUAGAACAAAGCUGGGCUUGAGUGAAAUGGAGUAUGGUGUGGUUGGUGUGUGAAAACGCCUUGCCCUGAGAGGAGAAGGAAGAACUGCACACAGUGACCUGCUUGGGGAACAUUUUGUCUCAAAUUACUUGCUGUUUGGUAUUGAGAAGGACUGGACUGGAAGUGCUGUGGAUUGAGCAACUUUGCACAGAGAGGUGUCUUUCACCACAGUGCAUCCAAGGGCUGCUGCUCUGUUGCCCGUGCAUGUGACUGAGGUGAGGAUGAUGGCUGAAAAAGAAUGUAGGGCACUUUCCAAGCUUGUACCUCUGUCUUCUUGACUGGUUCUUUUCAUCCCAAUUAAAAAAUAAAAAAUAUCACUAGCGCUGUUGAAUAGGAGGAGAAAGAGCAAACAGUUCAGUUAUUGUUACCUGUUUCCUGUUUGUUAUGCUCCGUCAUACAGCUGCACACUUCUGUACACAGCUGCCUCCCGGCUGCCUCCUGUGUCCUUUUAGAAGGAGCUGUUGCAGAAAAUAAAAGUGCUUGCUAACCUGACUUUAAAAAUAAAGACCUAUUACUGCA
Molecule: long non-coding RNA, 2366 nt
Organism: Lagopus leucura (white-tailed ptarmigan)
Lineage: Eukaryota; Metazoa; Chordata; Aves; Galliformes; Phasianidae
Exons: 2
Source: RefSeq, a predicted model, not a curated record